GCAGUCGAACGGUAGAGGAGCAAUCCUCGAGAGUGGCGAACGGGUGAGUAAUACAUCGGAACGUGCCCAGUCGUGGGGGAUAACGUAGCGAAAGCUACGCUAAUACCGCAUACGACCCGAGGGUGAAAGCGGGGGACUCGCAAGAGCCUCGCGCGAUUGGAGCGGCCGAUGGCAGAUUAGGUAGUUGGUGGGGUAAAGGCCCACCAAGCCUGCGAUCUGUAGCUGGUCUGAGAGGACGACCAGCCACACUGGGACUGAGACACGGCCCAGACUCCUACGGGAGGCAGCAGUGGGGAAUUUUGGACAAUGGGCGAAAGCCUGAUCCAGCCAUACCGCGUGCGGGAAGAAGGCCUUCGGGUUGUAAACCGCUUUUGUCAGGGAAGAAAUACUUCGGGCUAAUACCCUGGGGUGAUGACGGUACCUGAAGAAUAAGCACCGGCUAACUACGUGCCAGCAGCCGCGGUAAUACGUAGGGUGCAAGCGUUAAUCGGAAUUACUGGGCGUAAAGCGUGCGCAGGCGGUUCUAUAAGACAGAUGUGAAAUCCCCGGGCUCAACCUGGGAACUGCAUUUGUGACUGUAGAGCUAGAGUACGGUAGAGGGGGGAUGGAAUUCCGCGUGUAGCAGUGAAAUGCGUAGAUAUGCGGAGGAACACCGAUGGGCGAAGGCAUCCCCUGGACCUGUACUGACGCUCAUGCACG
This 699-nucleotide ribosomal RNA is filed under the name uncultured bacterium. RNAcentral describes it as "bacterial SSU rRNA". It matches the Rfam family "Bacterial small subunit ribosomal RNA", at positions 57 to 755 of the family's 1533-position model. The record is from RNAcentral.